UAUUAAAAAUUUCAUCAAUUUUUACUAUUAAAAACUAGCGUGACGGAUAGAAUAACUAGACAAUUACAUGUAGCAUACAACGUAUACCUUAUUCUGACUUACAAGGACCAGUUUUUAACAGUAGAAAUGGAUAGAAUUUUUAACA
Non-coding RNA from Gossypium hirsutum (cotton), 145 nucleotides. The record is from Rfam. Lineage: Eukaryota; Viridiplantae; Streptophyta; Magnoliopsida; Malvales; Malvaceae.